AUGGUGAAGCUUGUGUUAGAUGGUUGCAAAAAUCUCGAGAAGCUUCCUCCACUGUGGCAGCUGCCAGCUCUACAAGAUGUCGAGAUUAGGCUGGGGACAGAAUCGUCUAGUGGAGUUAGCACCGUGUGUCGUUCUGCAUUUCCAGCAUUGAAGGAAAUGGAAUUAGAUGAUUUGGAUAUCUUUCAGAAAUGGGAGGCAGUCGAUGGAACUCUAAAGGAGGAGGUAGCAUUUCCUCAGCUUGACAAAUUAACAAUCAACGAGUGCCCAGAGCUGACUACUCUACCUGAAGCACCAAAACUAAGUGUCUUAAACAUACAUGAAGGCAAUCAACAAAUAUCCCUACAGGCAGCUAGCAGAUAUACUACUUCAUUGUCCAGUCUCCAUCUGCAUUUGUCAACUGAUGGCACAGAAACAACAUCGGUGGCCAAGCAACAAGAUUCAAGUGAAUUGGUGAUUGAGGAUGAGAAAUGGAAUCAUAAAUCUCCCCUUGAACUUAUGAACUUAAAUGGGUGCAACCUUUUAUUCUCUCACCCAAGUGCGCUGGCUCUCUGGACAUGUUUUGUUCAGCUCAUAGAUCUGAAUAUUCGGAAAGUCGAUGCGCUUCUCUACUGGCCAGAAAAGGUGUUCCAGGGCUUGGUUUCCUUGAGGAAGUUAGAAGUCCCCAACCUACCUGCGUCUCUCAAGCUAUUAGACAUUAGGGGGUGCCGUGGCCUGGAGUCCAUCAUAUUCAAUCAGCAGCAGGAUAGGACGAUGUUGGUGAAUGCAGAAAGCUUUGCACAGCCGGAUAAGUCAUCAUUAAUAUCAGGCUCCACCAGCGAGACCAACAAUCGCACCCUUCCACGCCUGGAAUCUCUAGUAAUAUGGAACUGUGAUCGUUUGGAGUCCCUCUCAGGAAAGCUGGAUGCCGUUCAAGAAUUAAAUAUAGAAUCGUGCCAGAGCUUGAAAUCACUGGAAUCUUGCUUAGGAGAGCUCCCGUCGCUGCAACAACUCACCCUUUUUGAUUGCGAGAGCCUGGUAUCCUUGCCGAAGGGGCCUCAAGCAUACUCAUCUCUUACAUCUCUUACAGUUAGUUAUUGUUCUGGUAUAAAGGUGCUUCCACCGAGCCUGCAGCAACGUCUGGAUGACAUCGAGGAGAAAGAGCUAGAUGCCUGCUACGAAGGUAAUCUCCACUUUCUUCAUUUCUUUUAAUAAUAAGAAC
RNAcentral lists this long non-coding RNA (1198 nucleotides) under Oryza sativa Indica Group (long-grained rice). RNAcentral describes it as "lncRNA OsMH63_03G041580". The record is from RNAcentral. Lineage: Eukaryota; Viridiplantae; Streptophyta; Magnoliopsida; Poales; Poaceae.